AGACCGAUAGCGAACAAGUAGAGUGAUCGAAAGAUGAAAAGCACUUUGAAAAGAGGGUUAAAUAGCACGUGAAAUUGUUGAAAGGGAAGCGCUUGUGACCAGACUUGCGCCGGGCUGAUCAUCCGGUGUUCUCACCGGUGCACUCUGCCCGGCUCAGGCCAGCAUCGGUUCUCGCGGGGGGAUAAAGGCCCAGGGAACGUAGCUCCUCCGGGAGUGUUAUAGCCCUGGGUGUAAUGCCCUCGCGGGGACCGAGGUUCGCGCAUCUGCAAGGAUGCUGGCGUAAUGGUCACCAGCGACCCGUCUUGAAACACGGACCAAG
Molecule: ribosomal RNA, 319 nt
Filed under: fungal sp. CL085
Lineage: Eukaryota; Fungi
Description: LSU rRNA
Rfam family: Eukaryotic large subunit ribosomal RNA
Source: RNAcentral